Molecule: ribosomal RNA, 1394 nt
Filed under: Salinivibrio sp. DB6
Lineage: Bacteria; Pseudomonadati; Pseudomonadota; Gammaproteobacteria; Vibrionales; Vibrionaceae
Description: bacterial SSU rRNA
Rfam family: Bacterial small subunit ribosomal RNA
Source: RNAcentral
GCAGGCCUAACACAUGCAAGUCGAGCGGAAACGGCAGUAUUGAAGCUUCGGUGGAUUUACUGGACGUCGAGCGGCGGACGGGUGAGUAACGGCUGGGAACCUGCCCUGACGAGGGGGAUAACCGUUGGAAACGACGGCUAAUACCGCAUAAUGUCUACGGACCAAAGGUGGCCUCUACAUGUAAGCUAUCGCGUUGGGAUGGGCCCAGUUAGGAUUAGCUAGUUGGUAAGGUAAUGGCUUACCAAGGCAACGAUCCUUAGCUGGUUUGAGAGGAUGAUCAGCCACACUGGGACUGAGACACGGCCCAGACUCCUACGGGAGGCAGCAGUGGGGAAUAUUGCACAAUGGGGGAGACCCUGAUGCAGCCAUGCCGCGUGUGUGAAGAAGGCCUUCGGGUUGUAAAGCACUUUCAGCAGUGAGGAAGGUCGUGUACUUAAUACGUGCACGGCUUGACGUUAGCUGCAGAAGAAGCACCGGCUAACUCCGUGCCAGCAGCCGCGGUAAUACGGAGGGUGCGAGCGUUAAUCGGAAUUACUGGGCGUAAAGCGCAUGCAGGCGGUUUGUUAAGUCAGAUGUGAAAGCCCGGGGCUCAACCUCGGAACCGCAUUUGAAACUGGCAGGCUAGAGUCUUGUAGAGGGGGGUAGAAUUUCAGGUGUAGCGGUGAAAUGCGUAGAGAUCUGAAGGAAUACCAGUGGCGAAGGCGGCCCCCUGGACAAAGACUGACGCUCAGAUGCGAAAGCGUGGGUAGCAAACAGGAUUAGAUACCCUGGUAGUCCACGCCGUAAACGCUGUCUACUUGGAGGUUGAGGUUUUAGACUUUGGCUUUCGGCGCUAACGCAUUAAGUAGACCGCCUGGGGAGUACGGCCGCAAGGUUAAAACUCAAAUGAAUUGACGGGGGCCCGCACAAGCGGUGGAGCAUGUGGUUUAAUUCGAUGCAACGCGAAGAACCUUACCUUACUCUUGACAUCCAGCGAAGCCUUUAGAGAUAGAGGCGUGCCUUCGGGAGCGCUGAGACAGGUGCUGCAUGGCUGUCGUCAGCUCGUGUUGUGAAAUGUUGGGUUAAGUCCCGCAACGAGCGCAACCCUUAUCCUUGUUUGCCAGCACAUAAUGGUGGGAACUCCAGGGAGACUGCCGGUGAUAAACCGGAGGAAGGUGGGGACGACGUCAAGUCAUCAUGGCCCUUACGAGUAGGGCUACACACGUGCUACAAUGGCAGAUACAGAGGGCAGCGAGACAGCGAUGUUUAGCGAAUCCCUUAAAGUUUGUCGUAGUCCGGAUUGGAGUCUGCAACUCGACUCCAUGAAGUCGGAAUCGCUAGUAAUCGUGGAUCAGAAUGCCACGGUGAAUACGUUCCCGGGCCUUGUACACACCGCCCGUCACACCAUGGGAGUG